AGUGAACGCUGGCGGUAGGCCUAACACAUGCAAGUCGAACGGCAGCACAGUAAGAGCUUGCUCUUACGGGUGGCGAGUGGCGGACGGGUGAGGAAUACAUCGGAAUCUACUUUUUCGUGGGGGAUAACGUGGGGAAACCUACGCUAAUACCGCAUACGACCUACGGGUGAAAGCAGGGGAUCUUCGGACCUUGCGCGAUUGAAUGAGCCGAUGUCGGAUUAGCUAGUUGGCGGGGUAAAGGCCCACCAAGGCGACGAUCCGUAGCUGGUCUGAGAGGAUGAUCAGCCACACUGGAACGUAGACACGGUCCAGACUCCUACGGGAGGCAGCAGUGGGGAAUAUUGGACAAUGGGCGCAAGCCUGAUCCAGCCAUACCGCGUGGGUGAAGAAGGCCUUCGGGUUGUAAAGCCCUUUUGUUGGGAAAGAAAAGCAGCAGGUUAAUACCCCGCUGUUCUGACGGUACCCAAAGAAUAAGCACCGGCUAACUUCGUG
This 492-nucleotide ribosomal RNA is filed under the name uncultured bacterium. RNAcentral's name for it is "partial 16S ribosomal RNA". It matches the Rfam family "Bacterial small subunit ribosomal RNA", at positions 29 to 507 of the family's 1533-position model. The record is from RNAcentral.